This 590-nucleotide ribosomal RNA is filed under the name uncultured bacterium. RNAcentral's name for it is "bacterial SSU rRNA". It matches the Rfam family "Bacterial small subunit ribosomal RNA", at positions 332 to 922 of the family's 1533-position model. The record is from RNAcentral.
UUCGGUCCUACGGGAGGCAGCAGUAAGGAAUAUUGGGCAAUGGGCGAGAGCCUGACCCAGCCAUGCCGCGUGCAGGAAGACGGCCCUAUGGGUUGUAAACUGCUUUUAUACGGGAAUAAUAACAGCUACGUGUAGCUGUAUGCAGGUACCGUACGAAUAAGCAUCGGCUAACUCCGUGCCAGCAGCCGCGGUAAUACGGAGGAUGCGAGCGUUAUCCGGAAUCAUUGGGUUUAAAGGGUGCGUAGGCGGACUAAUAAGUCAGUGGUGAAAUAUCCCGGCUCAACCGGGAGGCUGCCAUUGAUACUGUUAGUCUUGAGUGUAAGCGAAGUGGGCGGAAUGUGUCAUGUGGCGGUGAAAUGCAUAGAGAUGACACAGAACACCGAUAGCGAAGGCAGCUCACUAGUAUACAACUGACGCUGAGGCACGAAAGCGUGGGGAGCAAACAGGAUUAGAUACCCUGGUAGUCCACGCCGUAAACGAUGAUCACUAGCUGUAGGCGAUACACUGUCUGUGGCUAAGCGAAAGCAAUAAGUGAUCCACCUGGGGAGUACGUCGGCAACGAUGAAACUCAUAAGAAUUGACGGAAUUGA